This 201-nucleotide ribosomal RNA is filed under the name uncultured bacterium. RNAcentral's name for it is "partial 16S ribosomal RNA". It matches the Rfam family "Bacterial small subunit ribosomal RNA", at positions 524 to 722 of the family's 1533-position model. The record is from RNAcentral.
CACGUAGGGUGCGAGCGUUGUCCGGAAUUAUUGGGCGUAAAGAGCUCGUAGGCGGUGUGUCGCGUCGGCCGUGAAAACCUGCAGCUUAACUGUGGGCUUGCGGUCGAUACGGGCAUCACUGGAGUUCGGCAGGGGGAGACUGGAAUUCCUGGUGUAGCGGUGAAAUGCGCAGAUAUCAGGAGGAACACCGGUGGCGAAGGC